CCUGAGUUUACAACUCCCAAACCCCUGUGAACAUACCUAUGUUGCCUCGGCGGAUCAGCCCGCGCCCGUAAAACGGGACGGCCCGCCAGAGGAACCCUAAACUCUGUUUCUAUAGUGGAACUUCUGAGUAAAAACCAUAAUAAAUCA
This 147-nucleotide unclassified non-coding RNA is filed under the name soil metagenome. RNAcentral's name for it is "partial internal transcribed spacer 1". The record is from RNAcentral.